AAUGCAUAAUAUAAUAUUAAAAUAUAAAUAACUAUUUUUAAAUACAUAGAAUUAUCGAAAACUUACACAUUUUUGAACGAUUACAAUUUAAGUUUUUUUAUUAUUAUUAUUAUUAUUAGCUAGUAAAAAAGUAAAUUACACAUUCUGAACAAUUAUACUUAACUGUCACCCAUCCCCUCUGUGGGACGCCCAAGUUUACUUCACUAUUUUACAAUUAAAUCCAAAUCUAAUCAUGACAAACUAUUUAUCGUUGGAAAUGUUUAAGACUCCGAAAUAGAUACUUUACCACUGUAUUGGUUAAAAAAUAUGUAGGAAAAGUUAUAGAUUAAUUUAUGACAAGACUGCACCUCAAAAAUCUACAUAACAGGAGUUCUGACCUUUGUCACAAAAAGUCUUCUUCCUUGCCUUUUUUUCUGUCAAACUUUAGAAAUCAUCAGAAAUUACAUAUCAAUCGAAAACUUAAAAUCUCAAAAUUCAUCCUUUGAAAACCAUUUUAAAAUCAGACAUUGCAUUACCAUGAAAAUGGUACAUCAAUAUCACGUUACAAAAUGUUUUCAUUCAUGAAUUAUAAAAAUUUAAGUCUGGAUAGCACUUUCAGGUCUAUGUUCAAAAAUGUGAGUGACAAUUAAAGGGGUCAUAUGAUGCAAUUUAAAUUUUUUUCCUUUCUGUUUGGAGUGUUACAAACUCUUGGUGCAUAAAGAAGAUCUGUAAAGCUGCAAAGACUAAAGUCUCAAAUCCAAAGAGAUAUUCUUAAUAAAAGUUUAGACUCAUCCACGCCCUCCUAAAACGGCUCGUUCUAACACGCCCCCACAUCUCUACGUCACUAUGUGGGAAGAUUUGCAUAAAGCCGCCCAAAUGUUCACAAAAAGAAAGAAGGUGUAACUUUGAUUCUCACUGUUGCCACUGCUGCCAUGUUGUGGAGACGCUGUGUGUUUUUUUGUGAAAGCAAAACUACUUUGUUUGGCCUUCCAAAAGAUGACACAACUAGAAAUCAGUGGUUAAGUUGUAUUUACAACACUGUUCCAGAACAGUUCAACCCAAAUAUUCAGAUGUGUGCAGCACAUUUUAUGAAGGAUUGUUUCCUGAUCCUGGGAGAGAAGACUAAAAUGCCGGCUGUACUGACUCACAGUCUGUAAGUAUGUUUUCAUAUGUAAAGGAUUCGCCACUGAUGAUUCAAACGCGAGUUUUGAGCAGUGUAGAGCAGCGGUUCUCAAUUCCAGUCCUCGCGACCCCUGCUCUGCACAUUUGUAUGUUUCUCUUAUAACUUCAGACGUUUGUUCUAUUCGAACGUAAGUGCCCUGCCAAGUGGACAUCACAGGAUAUUCCGCCAUGAUUCCAGUUAGAAGCGAACAUAUGUGUUCCAUUCAAAGUGCAUUGAAGUGUGCGAGACGUGAAUUUAAAAUGUAUUUAUUUAAUCACUGCAUUUAUUUUUGUUAAAUGUUAGCCAAAAUCAUCACAAUUUAAAGAACCAAAGACUUAAACUACUUCAGUCUGUGUGCAGUGAAUUUAUUUAAUACACGAAUUUUACAAUUACUGAAAUAAAUGAACUUUUCCACGACAUUCGAAUUUAUUGAUGUGGGAGGAGAUUGGCCAGUAAUGAAUUUCAGGUGCGAAUGGUUAGUAAUGUGACCAGGAAAGUAUAAAAUAGUUGUUGCAUUGACAUGGUAGGAUUGGCAUGUUCCUGAAGUUGUGCUCGAUGUUUAGCCAACCCUGGUUCUUGAUGUGCAGCCUUUUAACUUCUGUGCUCGACGUGCAGUUUUUAUCCUUUUGUAUAGGUAUAUGGAGUUAUGAGCUGUGUGAAUUGUUUGCGUUGAAUGGUUGAUUAUUGAGUGCCUAGUUAUAUUUUUAUGAUCUCUCUUUUCUAGGCUGAUUUAUUAAGAGGUUUUACACACUGUCAGGAAAGUGGGGCAGGCAAACAUUUAUUGCUGCAGUACCUUCAAUGGGCUGAUGGCUGUGUUGGAAUGCUGAAUAUCCGUAUCUUCUCUGUAUCUAUCAUGUUUGGUCUUGGGAUUAAGCGCUGAGAUUGGUGUGUAGUGGCUUUGUAUAGGGCCGGGCCUGCAUCGGCACUUAACCUCCCCGGGUGUAGGUGAUUUGGGUGGAGUGGCACUGCUGUGUGGUGUGUAUUACCUAGAUGGUUGACACUGAAAUGGUGUUUUGAAGGUUACUCUUUGUUUGCGGUGUAUGCUGUGGGUCUUCUCUUUUCUUCUGUCCCUUACAGGUGAUCGGCGGUGCAUAAGAGCAGGCCCGACCCUCCUUGCCAUUGAGGAGAGCUAUUUUCUACUGUUGUGGAUUUUAUUAUUGAUGCAUGUUUUUUUUUUUUUGAUUGUUUUUAAUGUUUUGCUUAGGAAUAAAAUUGUGAUAUUCAACCAACUACGUUUACGGUUUAAAAAAAAAUUAAUACUUGAUUUGUGGAGGGCUCCUCCUGCCCUAAAUAAGGAGGAGGCGUAGUCAGUUUAUAGUUUCUUACACUACAUUGAGAUGCACCUGUAUGUGUUUCUGGGUGCUCCUCAAACAGCUGCAUCCUACCGAGGCUGCGUCCUUCCUAGUUCAGUCCUUCAGAGUCUUGUAGGAUAGAGUCCUCCUUAGCAUUAAACGCUAGGAGACAGGGCUGUCCAAACUCAGUCCUGGAGGAGCCGGUGUCCUGAACAGUUUAGUUCCA
This is a long non-coding RNA of Cyprinus carpio carpio, 2659 nucleotides long. Lineage: Eukaryota; Metazoa; Chordata; Actinopteri; Cypriniformes; Cyprinidae. The record is from Ensembl.